AUCCACCUGACGAGUCCCAAAUAAGACGAAGCGCGCGCAU
This 40-nucleotide non-coding RNA is filed under the name Schistosoma mansoni. The record is from RNAcentral. Lineage: Eukaryota; Metazoa; Platyhelminthes; Trematoda; Strigeidida; Schistosomatidae.